AGCUCUCCUGUUUGUUGACGUUUUUCCUCGUGCUCCAAUGUGCAGUGGAUAUCGAUCGAGAUGAUUUCUGUGACUAUCAGAUACACACUUAGCAUAGCAAAGAACUGUUUUGACUUUCCUCUUUGCGGUAAUAAUCAUGCCAUAUCUGUCCAGCUUGCUAGAUGUAAUACCUGCAGAAUCAUUAAAACGUAAACAAGUGAAUAAUAUUUAUAACCAAAACGGGUUUAAAUAUGAGUGCAGGACUCGCGUCAAAGACGGCCCACCAAGAGAGUAUUAUGGAUGAGGUGAUGUAUCUACACAUGCUGGAGCCUGGAAUAUAAGCUGACUCUUCAACUUUGAAAAAGUAAUGGUCAACCAUCAUGAUCAUCAGUACUCGUCACUGUGUGACGUAAAGCCAUUUUCACCUACUAGAGUGUAAAACAAAGGCUGCCACAAUACAAUAAAACAGAUGUGAAUCAACACACACGAGGUAGAACUGACUGUAUUCAAGGAAAAUUAUUUUAAAAUAUAUUUUUUGCGUGUUUAUUUAAAAAAAAAUAUUGGAGGCAUCCUACUUUAAUUCGAAUUGAAACCUUUUUAAAGUAGUGUCUUUAAAAACAACUAAUAUUAUCAUAUCGGUAACUUAUAUUAAUUUUAUUUCUUCUAUGAUAUUAAUUCUCCAUAAGUAAUAUUUUUAUAAUUAUUACUCAGUCACUAUUUUUGGUCAGAAAAAACAACCCAUAAGUUAUAAACGAAUCGCAUUUAAAACCAAAUUACUCUGGAUAAUAACUUUAAAAAUUUAUAUCAUAUAAUGUCCAGUAAAGAAAAUACAUGUUAAUUAAAGGCAAUAAUAAUACAAUGUAAUUACAAAUCAUACAUUUCUUUUAAUAAAAAUAAUCGAUGAAUUAAAAACUAUCACCGCAUGGGUUAUUGGUUUUACACCAGGUACGUUUCGAAUGAACUCUAAAUGUGACCUACUUACCCA
This is a long non-coding RNA of Physella acuta, 964 nucleotides long. RefSeq lists it as uncharacterized. Lineage: Eukaryota; Metazoa; Mollusca; Gastropoda; Physidae. The record is from RefSeq and is a predicted model, not a curated record.